This 742-nucleotide ribosomal RNA is filed under the name uncultured bacterium. RNAcentral's name for it is "bacterial SSU rRNA". It matches the Rfam family "Bacterial small subunit ribosomal RNA", at positions 8 to 796 of the family's 1533-position model. The record is from RNAcentral.
AGAGUUUGAUCAUGGCUCAGAACGAACGCUGGCGGCAUGCCUAACACAUGCAAGUCGAACGAGACCUUCGGGUCUAGUGGCGCACGGGUGCGUAACGCGUGGGAACCUGCCUUUAGGUUCGGAAUAACUCAGAGAAAUUUGAGCUAAUACCGGAUAAUGUCUUCGGACCAAAGAUUUAUCGCCUUUAGAUGGGCCCGCGUUGGAUUAGCUAGUUGGUGGGGUAAAGGCCUACCAAGGCGACGAUCCAUAGCUGGUCUGAGAGGAUGAUCAGCCACACUGGGACUGAGACACGGCCCAGACUCCUACGGGAGGCAGCAGUGGGGAAUAUUGGACAAUGGGCGAAAGCCUGAUCCAGCAAUGCCGCGUGAGUGAUGAAGGCCUUAGGGUUGUAAAGCUCUUUUACCCGAGAUGAUAAUGACAGUAUCGGGAGAAUAAGCUCCGGCUAACUCCGUGCCAGCAGCCGUGGUAAUACGGAGGGAGCUAGCGUUGUUCGGAAUUACUGGGCGUAAAGCGCACGUAGGCGGCUUUUUAAGUCAGGGGUGAAAUCCCGGGGCUCAACCCCGGAACUGCCCUUGAAACUGGGAAGCUAGAAUCUUGGAGAGGCGAGUGGAAUUCCGAGUGUAGAGGUGAAAUUCGUAGAUAUUCGGAAGAACACCAGUGGCGAAGGCGACUCGCUGGACAAGUAUCGACGCUGAGGUGCGAAAGCGUGGGGAGUAAACAGGAUUAGAUACCCCGGUAGUCC